GAUCUUAGAAGACUGAGAAGCGAUAGUUCCAAAUCUUUUAAUAAACAGACAUGCUCAUUAAUGAGGUGCUGGAGACAUUACAGCCCUACUGAGAACCAGGCAGAGAGGGAACCCAGAAAGUCCAGAUGGGUUGCUGAUUAACACACGAUUCAGAUCCUGUACACGUGUCCCAGGCUACCAGACUCCCUCCCUUCCCCUGCCAACCAGGAACCAGCCUGACUACAAUUACUUACUAUGGAAUGCCUAUCAGUCACAUGGUAUAGAGCCAGCUCCCUCCUCUGAAAUGUAUAAGAAGGGACGUUACUGUGCCACAUGGGCCUACACUCCCUUCAGGGCCCCCACAGUUGUCUUUCAGUCAAUCAAAAGUGUCAACUCGAUUAGUAAAUCUUUGACCCAAAGAGCCAUUGGUCUCAGUGUUCCCUUUCAUUUAUUUUGAGAUCCUCUUUGCAGGAUCAAAGGACUGCACCACCAUGCCAGGCCCUUUAGUGUUCUCCUUAAACUCAAACCUCAACCUUUCAAUAAUGAAAUACAGGACAUAUUUAGCUACAGCAUGAG
RNAcentral lists this long non-coding RNA (555 nucleotides) under Mus spicilegus (steppe mouse). Its description in RNAcentral is "lncRNA (ENSMSIG00000023353.1)". The record is from RNAcentral. Lineage: Eukaryota; Metazoa; Chordata; Mammalia; Rodentia; Muridae.